AGCUGCUGGAAACUCUGGCCCAGCUGCGGGAGGACCGGCAAGUGCGUGUCCUGCUCUUCAGAAGUGGAGUGAAGGGCGUGUUCUGUGCAGGCCCCCAUUGCCGUGCGGCUGGGCAAAGUAGCCAUUGACCGAGGAACGGAGGUGGACAUUGCAUCUGGGAUGGCCAUUGAAGGGAUGUGCUAUGCCCAGAAUAUUCCAACCCGGGACCGGCUAGAGGGCAUGGCAGCCUUCAGGGAGAAGCGGACUCCCAAAUUUGUUGGCAAAUGACCCCCAUUUUAACCUUCAGCAUGGGAGAUGCAUGCCCUGAAGAGCAGGAUCCAGAAGGAAGAUUUGUGGCCAGAUUGCCUUCAUCAUUUCACCUCUCCAGACUUCCAUUUCUUCACAAGGAUGAUGAUGGAAAUAAAAUGACUGGCGUGAUGCCUGGAACCAAGGUGCUGAUCCUACCACCUACUGCUACCUUCCUUAGCUUCACCCUGGCUAGAAAUAAUCACGAGGGUUGGGUUUGCUUUGGAAAAUGCCUGUCUCUCUACUUGAAUGAUAAAGAAUUAAAUUAGA
This 555-nucleotide long non-coding RNA is filed under the name Homo sapiens (human). Its description in RNAcentral is "non-protein coding lnc-SLC1A7-5:7". Lineage: Eukaryota; Metazoa; Chordata; Mammalia; Primates; Hominidae. The record is from RNAcentral.